AUAUAAUAUUUAUAUAACGAUAAGCUUAUAUUGUUUUUGUAACUACGUAUUGCGGUGGUUUGAUGUUGGCGCAACAAUAAAUUGAUGUUAAAACUUUGUUCAGCUGGAAUAAUGUGGGUUACAGAUGCCCAGAUGUUGACAACCGUGGAUUCGCAUAAUCAUCGAAUUAUAUUGUAGCUGAAACAGCUUUGACGAACAUAGAGAGAGAGAGAGAGAGAGAGAGAGAGAGGCGAAGGAAAUAAAGAAAAGCAUGGAAAGAGGCCAAUUGCUUUGGGGCCAUGUGCAUCAACCGUGCAGCUGGAAUAGAUUUUGCAAAACGCAUCUGGUAUACGUUAGAAAAAUAAAUUACCGUUCCUAUGAAUAUAUAAGUCGUACAGUUUGUAAUUAUUUUCUUUUGCUUAUAUUGCUGUAUUAUACGAGUAUUCAACCGAUGAAUUUUCAGUUAAGGUUGUGAAAUGUUGUAAGGUGUGGUUAUCAUUCGCAGCUGGUGACCGACUAAAAAUAGAAUUGUACCAGUUUUACAACCGGCCUCUGAUACACCUUUAACUUUGACGAGAAUACAAUACUAUCUUUGUUGUUCUGAAGUAACGGAGGAAAUUACAAAUCUAAAUGCAUGUACGGCCAUUUGAUUUUCUUAAAGAUACAAAACAAAUUUUUACGAUGUCACAUAACUUGAAAUAUAUUGAAAAUUUUUUUCACUUCUUACGAACGUACUUA
Long non-coding RNA from Neodiprion virginianus, 717 nucleotides. RefSeq lists it as uncharacterized. The record is from RefSeq and is a predicted model, not a curated record. The transcript has 3 exons. Lineage: Eukaryota; Metazoa; Arthropoda; Insecta; Hymenoptera; Diprionidae.